CAAAUUAGAACAGUUGAAACAGAAUUGGAACAGAAGAUCGGCUCGGCAGUAGCGCAAGGAUGACACGCAAAUCCGUGAAGCGCUCCAUCUUUUU
Molecule: small nuclear RNA, 94 nt
Filed under: Sinocyclocheilus grahami
Lineage: Eukaryota; Metazoa; Chordata; Actinopteri; Cypriniformes; Cyprinidae
Source: RNAcentral